This 460-nucleotide ribosomal RNA is filed under the name uncultured bacterium. RNAcentral's name for it is "partial 16S ribosomal RNA". It matches the Rfam family "Bacterial small subunit ribosomal RNA", at positions 338 to 795 of the family's 1533-position model. The record is from RNAcentral.
CCUACGGGAGGCAGCAGUGAGGAAUAUUGGUCAAUGGUCGCAAGUCUGAACCAGCCAUGCCGCGUGCAGGAAGACGGCUCUAUGAGUUGUAAACUGCUUUUGUACGAGGGUAAACGCAGAUACGCGUAUCUGUCUGAAAGUAUCGUACGAAUAAGGAUCGGCUAACUCCGUGCCAGCAGCCGCGGUAAUACGGAGGAUUCAAGCGUUAUCCGGAUUUAUUGGGUUUAAAGGGUGCGUAGGCGGUCGGAUAAGUUAGAGGUGAAAUCCCGAGGCUCAACUUCGGAAUUGCCUCUGAUACUGUUCGGCGAGAGAGUAGUUGCGGUAGGCGGAAUGUAUGGUGUAGCGGUGAAAUGCUUAGAGAUCAUACAGAACACCGAUUGCGAAGGCAGCUUACCAAGCUACUUCUGACGUUGAGGCACGAAAGCGUGGGGAGCAAACAGGAUUAGAUACCCUAGUAGUC